RNAcentral lists this ribosomal RNA (165 nucleotides) under uncultured bacterium. RNAcentral describes it as "partial 16S ribosomal RNA". It matches the Rfam family "Bacterial small subunit ribosomal RNA", at positions 338 to 495 of the family's 1533-position model. The record is from RNAcentral.
CCUACGGGAGGCAGCAGUGGGGAAUUUUGGACAAUGGGCGCAAGCCUGAUCCAGCAAUGCCGCGUGCAGGAUGAAGGCCUUCGGGUUGUAAACUGCUUUUGUACGGAACGAAACGGUCUUCCCUAAUACGGUGGGCUAAUGACGGUACCGUAAGAAUAAGCCCCG